This 492-nucleotide ribosomal RNA is filed under the name uncultured bacterium. Its description in RNAcentral is "partial 16S ribosomal RNA". It matches the Rfam family "Bacterial small subunit ribosomal RNA", at positions 29 to 507 of the family's 1533-position model. The record is from RNAcentral.
AGUGAACGCUGGCGGUAGGCCUAACACAUGCAAGUCGAACGGCAGCACAGUAAGAGCUUGCUCUUACGGGUGGCGAGUGGCGGACGGGUGAGGAAUACAUAGGAAUCUUCUUUUUCGGGGGGGAUAACGUAGGGACAGUUACGCUAAUACCGAAUACGACCUACGGGAGAAAGCAGGGGAUCUUCGGGCCUUGCGCGAUUGAAUGAGCCGAUGUCGGGUUAGCUAGUUGGUGGGGUAAAGGCACACCAAGGCGACGAUCCGUAGCUGAUCUGAGAGGAUGAUCGGCCACACUGGAACUGAGACACGGUCCAGACUCCUACGGGAGGCAGCAGUGGGGAAUAUUGGACAAUGGGCGCAAGCCUGAUCCAGCCAUACCGCGUGAGUGAAGAAGGCCUUCGGGUUGUAAAGCCCUUUUGUUGGGAAAGAAAAGCAGCAGGUUAAUACCCCGCUGUUCUGACGGUACCCAAAGAAUAAGCACCGGCUAACUUCGUG